UCUACGGGAGGCCGCAGUCGAGAAUCUUCCACAAUGGACGAAAGUCUGAUGGAGCGACGCCGCGUGAUUGAUGAAGUCCUUCGGGACGUAAAGAUCUUUUAUGGGAGAAGAAGUUUAUUGACGGUACCCCAUGAAUAAGAGGCUCCUAACUCUGUGCCAGCAGGAGCGGUANUACAGAGGCCUCAAGCGUUAUCCGGAAUCACUGGGCGUAAAGGGUGCGUAGACGGUUGUGUUAGUCUUGUGUCAAAACCUCUUGCUUAACAGGAGGAUCGCACAGGAAACGGCACGACUUAGAGGAUGUGAGAGGUGUGCGGAACUCAUGGUGUAGGGGUGAAAUCCGUUGAUAUCAUGGGGAACACCAAAAGCGAAGGCAGCACACUGGCACAUUCCUGACGUUGAGGCACGAAAGCGUGGGUAGCGAAUGGGAUUAGAUACCCCUGUANUC
RNAcentral lists this ribosomal RNA (445 nucleotides) under uncultured bacterium. RNAcentral describes it as "bacterial SSU rRNA". It matches the Rfam family "Bacterial small subunit ribosomal RNA", at positions 338 to 795 of the family's 1533-position model. The record is from RNAcentral.